RNAcentral lists this ribosomal RNA (439 nucleotides) under uncultured bacterium. RNAcentral's name for it is "partial 16S ribosomal RNA". It matches the Rfam family "Bacterial small subunit ribosomal RNA", at positions 339 to 795 of the family's 1533-position model. The record is from RNAcentral.
CUACGGGGGGCUGCAGUGAGGAAUAUUGCACAAUGGAGGAAACUCUGAUGCAGCAACGCCGCGUGGAGGAUGACGCAUUUCGGUGUGCAAACUCCUUUUAUAUGCCAAGAAAAUGACGGUAGCAUAUGAGUAAGCACCGGCUAACUCCGUGCCAGCAGCCGCGGUAAUACGGAGGGUGCAAGCGUUACUCGGAAUCACUGGGCGUAAAGGACGCGUAGGCGGGAUAUCAAGUCAGGUGUGAAAUCCUACAGCUUAACUGUAGAACUGCACUUGAAACUUCUAAUCUAGAGUAUGGGAGGGGGAGAUGGAAUUAGUGGUGUAGGGGUAAAAUCCGUAGAUAUCACUAGGAAUACCUAAAGCGAAGGCGAUCUCCUGGAACAUUACUGACGCUAAGGCGUGAAAGCGUGGGGAGCAAACAGGAUUAGAUACCCGGGUAGUC